Molecule: long non-coding RNA, 2080 nt
Filed under: Nicotiana tabacum (common tobacco)
Lineage: Eukaryota; Viridiplantae; Streptophyta; Magnoliopsida; Solanales; Solanaceae
Description: long non-coding RNA (NTAB_LNC006915)
Source: RNAcentral
CCUUGAUCUAAUGGUCCAUAUUUAAUCUCUCAAGAGGUAUUUAAAGCCUCAAAAAACUGAAAAAUUCCCUCAUUUCCCCCCAUAACUCUUUCUCUCUUCUCUCUCUUUCUUCUCUCCGCCGCCGCCGCCGGAAAUCACCCAUCGGUGGCGGACCACCUCCAGACACCUCCAAAUUAACACCAUGUAUUCUCCACAACCUCCUCUUCCCAUAUCUCCAAACCAAUUCCUUCAAAACCCCCUCAAACUCCUUGAAUUUUAGAUCUAGGAAACUUUAGCCACCACUUUUUGGCUCAAAUUCAUGAAGCUCCGGCCAACAUCACCCUACAACACAUGCAUGAAUGGAUAGAGCUCCACGAGACCUAUCUUUUCCUACCCAUUUCACCCUCUAAAACCCCGUCGCCGCCGGCCCGCUGCCCAUUACCCGCCGCGGCUCCACUGCCUCACCACCGCCAAAAUGCCCCAAAACCCCAUCUUAGCUAUUUUUCGACUCAAAGACACUCAUUUUUUUUUGGCGAGAUGCUGAAACUCAUUUCGUUCUAGCAUCUACCCGAAAGAAACGUGCAUUUCGGAGUCAGGCAGUCGCCUUUUAGCAUCUCCGGCGUCUUCUCGUGGCUCGAACAGCUUCAAGCAUACUCGUUAGGUAUAAUCGUCAUCUCUUUAAUUAAUUUCUGAUUUUUUAUAUUAAUAGAUUAGUUUCUGAUUUUUGAUUUUUCUGUUUUGGUUGUUUCUUGUUAAUUAGAGUUUCAAGUUAGAUUUAUUUAAUUAGUUAUCUCUAUUUAGUUUAGUGAUUUGUUAGAUUGUUAUUGAUCUAAACAUGAUCUUUAGUGUAUUAGCUAAAUCAUUCACUUAGUUUGUCGAUUAUUUAGUUGUCUGAUUGUUAACGAUGCUCGUUCUGGUUUGAGCAUUUAGUUUGUGAAUUUAGUUAUUUGUUUAGUAAUUAGUUUGUAAAAAUCGAAUUCAUUCCAAUCAAGUUGGUUUGAAUACUUAGUUCAAUUAUGUUUUUAGUCUCGUUUAUGCUUUGUCAGUUCAUAGUUGUUCAUUUUUUAUUUUGUGUUGAGCAAGUAGUUUGUUCUUGAUGGUUAAAAUCUGAAGUUUAUGCUAUUUUAUCAUAAAAUAGGGUAAUAGUAGCCUACUUUUACUAGUAGGGUGGCUGAAAUGACAUUUGUUUUCUCCUUGCUUCUGACACGACAGAUUUUCAGGCUGUCCUUUCAAUUUUGGGGACAGAUCUUGAACAGUGUUUAGCACACAAAGUCAGUUUUUGGACAGAUUUUUGGUGAACUAAAAUCUGGCCCAAAAAGGGGACUUAAUUUACCUAUUUAAGGGGCUGCUAUUUCUUCACUUCAAAGACUCUAUCUUACACUUGCAGAGAUCUUGAGAGUUGCUUGAACACACAUAUGGUUGAACAAAAAAUCACCAGAUGAAUAUUUUAGUAAGCUAAAAAAUUUUGUUUUGUGAGUGAAUCUUAGAGUGCAAACUUUUAGAAAAGUAGAAGUCUUCUUUAGAGUUAGUUCUAGGUUUCUUCUCUAAAGUUUUCGGGCUGUUUAAACACGAUUUGCUGCUGGAUUUCUGUUGAUUUUGUUGUUGUUCUCUGUUGUUUUCUAUUGCUGAGCUUCAAUUCAUCCCCUGUUGUAUUUAUUUUCAGCUCUUCAGGUAACCUUCUAAAUAUUUGUAAUGCAGGCUCUUUUUCUUUAAUAACAGAUGAUGAAAAGUUGAACAUAUUUAGAUUAUAUGUGCAUCUUCAAUAUGGACGGAUGUCAAAGUGUAACCUUGAAAUCAAAUCUCGUGGUUUAAGUAUUAAAUCUAUGACUUUGUUUAAUUCUUUUUUUUUUUAUUUAGCUUAAUAGCUUUCCCAAUGUUAGUUUUCAAGUAGUGUUUCUUGAGUAAUGGUAGUAUUUCACUUAAAAAUAUAAAAGUUAUAUAAAGACCUUGUAGUAGGCUAAUAAACAAAGAAUUUUGUUUGGUUUAAGUUUUUGCCGUUCUUUUCACCGUAAAGUUUUAGAAGAUUGCAUAAAGGUCUAUUUCUUAUUACUUUACUGUUUUAGUCGUAAGGUUUCUGUUGUGGUUAGUUUUUCGUUAUCUG